This 986-nucleotide ribosomal RNA is filed under the name uncultured bacterium. RNAcentral's name for it is "bacterial SSU rRNA". It matches the Rfam family "Bacterial small subunit ribosomal RNA", at positions 8 to 965 of the family's 1533-position model. The record is from RNAcentral.
AGAGUUUGAUCAUGGCUCAGAAUGAACGCUGGCGGCGUGCUUAACACAUGCAAGUCGCACGAGAACUCUUCUGCUUGCAGAAGAUAGUAAAGUGGCGCACGGGUGAGUAACGCGUGGGUAAUCUGCCUUCAAAUCGGGGAUAACAUUGCGAAAGCGAUGCUAAUACCGGAUAAUGUCUACUAAACUUCGGUUUAUAAGAUUAAAGGUGGCCUCUAUAUAUAAGCUUCCGUUUGAAGAUGAGCCCGCGUACCAUUAGCCAGUUGGUAGGGUAACGGCCUACCAAAGCGACGAUGGUUAGCUGGUCUGAGAGGAUGAUCAGCCACACUGGAACUGACACACGGUCCAGACUCCUACGGGAGGCAGCAGUGAGGAAUUUUGCGCAAUGGGGGAAACCCUGACGCAGCAACGCCGCGUGAGUGAUGAAGGCUUUCGGGUCGUAAAACUCUGUCAAGUGGGAAGAACCUGCAUAAUUAAAAUAUGAUUGUGCACUGACGGUACCACUGAAGGAAGCACCGGCUAACUCCGUGCCAGCAGCCGCGGUAAUACGGGGGGUGCAAGCGUUAUUCGGAAUUAUUGGGCGUAAAGAGCGCGUAGGCGGUUUUUUAAGUCAGAUGUGAAAGCCCGGGGCUCAACCUCGGAAGUGCAUUUGAUACUGAAAAACUUGAGUAUGGGAGAGGGAAGUGGAAUUCCUGGUGUAGAGGUGAAAUUCGUAGAUAUCAGGAGGAACACCGGUGGCGAAGGCGACUUCCUGGACCAAUACUGACGCUGAGGCGCGAAGGCGUGGGGAGCAAACAGGAUUAGAUACUCCUGGUAGUCCACGCAGUAAACGUUGAACACUAUGUGUAGCGGGUAUUGACCCCUGCUGUGCCGCAGUUAACGCAUUAAGUGUUCCGCCUGGGAAGUACGGUCGCAAGAUUAAAACUCAAAGGAAUUGACGGGGGCCCGCACAAGCGGUGGAGCAUGUGGUUUAAUUCGACGCACGCGGA